UCUGUCAGUCGCCUCAGUCUGUCUAUGUGUGUGCGUUAGUUAGUCAGUUGUGCCUAUGCGCGUGUGUGUGCGAGUGUCUCGCUUCAUUUUGCCUUUGGUGUCAGUUGAAGAGAAAGAAAACGAAUAGCUCGUCGCAGCUGAGCAGAACGGAGCGGAGUAAACGGAAUAAAGUGUGCUUCAAGUCAAGUUCUAUGUGUUUGCCGGCAUUUUAAUGACGUCACGUCAAGCAGCGCAGUAACAGCCAUCAAGCAAAAGCAACAACAACUGCAAAGUCAGCAAAACCAGAAAGCAAGAAAAAUAAUAUCAAGUAAAAAGCCCGAAAUAAAAAUAAAAAAAAAAACGCGUUUCUUCUGCUGUCGCUCGCUCUCUACUGCCUCCCCCCGCACUAUCGCUGACCCGCUCUAAACCACACUCAGCUGCUCCGUGCGCGUGUGACUGUGUGUAAGUGUGUGCAAAAGUUACAAAUUCUAACAGCAAAUCAAACGAAAUUCGCAACAACAACAGCAACAACAGCGGAGAGAAUCGAAUCAAAUUGAAGCGCAACGCAUCGCUCGCAUCGCAUCGCAUCGCAUCAUCAGCUGCUUCUCAAGAUAAUGUAAAAUCAGCGUAUGCUCAAUAAAGAAAAGCUUAAAUACACACAAAAAUAAGAACAACAAAUUAAAUAUUAAAACAAAAACUGCUAAACUUACAAACAAUAUUCAAGUUAAAGCGUAUUUAUAUAUAAACGUUUGUUCGAAUCAAAAUUAAACUACAUAUAUACAACUCUUAGCCACGAUAGGCUUCAAGUACCCCAAGCUAUUAGCUAUUCCCAAGCUUUGUAAACAAUUAAAAAAAAAAAGAAAACAAUAUACAAAACAAGAACUCAUGCAAAGCGCUAAACAUCUAUGCUAAAUAUAUAUAUGUAUACCUUAUAUAUAUAGGUGCUGAUCUGUGCUAAGAGCUGUUUAUCAUAAAAGAAACAAAAAGUAACCCGAAACAAAACUUGUUGAAGCCAACGUCAUAAAGUAAAACGCGCAACAUUUCUAGUCGCCAGCUAAGCUAUCUAUAAAGUCCCCCAGCUAAAACAAAACUAUAGCUAUAAAUAUAUAUAUAUAUUCAUAUAUACAUAUACAAAAUACUGAAGAAUUGCUGCUGCGAUGGCCAACGUUGUUAAUAUGAACAGCCUGCUGAAUGGCAAGGACUCGCGCUGGCUGCAGCUGGAGGUCUGCCGCGAAUUUCAGCGCAACAAAUGUUCGCGCCAGGACACCGAAUGCAAGUUCGCCCAUCCGCCGGCCAAUGUUGAGGUGCAGAACGGCAAGGUUACCGCUUGCUAUGACAGUAUCAAGGCGACGCACCUCUUAGAGAUGGAUAACUACAAGGGUCGUUGUAAUCGUGACAAACCGCCGUGCAAAUACUUUCAUCCACCACAGCAUCUGAAGGAUCAGCUGUUGAUAAACGGACGCAAUCAUCUGGCACUCAAGAAUGCACUAAUGCAACAAAUGGGCAUGGCGCCCGGCCAGCAGGUCAUAUCGGGCCAAGUGCCAGCCGUGGCCGCAAAUCCCUACUUGACUGGCAUACCAGCCAAUACAUACAGUCCUUACUAUGCAACCGGACACUUAGUGCCUACUUUGCUGGGACCCGAUCCGACGGCCGUCGCCUCACAGCUGGGCCCGGUGGUGCCACAGACCGUGCAAGUGGCCCAACAGAAAAUUCCACGCUCCGACAGAUUAGAGGUCUGUCGCGAAUUCUUGCGCGGCGCCUGCAAACGGGCCGAGUCGGAAUGCCGGUUCGCGCAUCCGCAGGAGAGCGUCGCGCGGCACGACGAUGGUUCCAUAACGGUUUGCAUGGACGCCGUGAAGGGCAGAUGCGCACGUGACCCCUGCCGCUACUUUCAUCCCCCCCUGCACCUACAGGCACAAUUAAAAGCGGCCCAAACACGCGCCACCGCUGUCGCUGCUGCAGCUGCGAGCUCACCUCUUACGGCACACCAACAACUAAAUCAGCAUCAGCAGCAACUGCAGAACCACCUCCACAACAGCAACAAUAGCAACAGCAACAACAACAACAGCAACAACACCAUCCACACGGCCGGCGGCAUCACUGCUGGCGCAACAACAACAACACCAACAGCAACAACAACAACAAACAACGCUGCCGCUGCCGCUGCUGCUGCCGCCGCCGCCGCUGCCGCCGCUGUUAUGGGUCAUCACACACUGGAAGUGGGCAAGAAGCGGUCAGCGGAUCCUGAAAUGUUUCCACUGAUGGAUGUUAAAACGGUUGGUUCAUUUUACUAUGAAAACUUCCAAUUCUCUGGCAUGGUACCGUUUAAACGUCCAGCUGCCGAAAAGUCUGGCAUUCCAGUGUAUCAACCCGGUGCGACAACCUAUCAACAAUUAAUGCAGCCCUACGUGCCAGUGUCAUUGCCGCCUAUUAGGAUAUGUAACUGUUACUGCAUAAUUCAGCCCACUAGAACUUAAGCAAACAAUCAAAAUGAAUAAUCUCUUUUUCUGUAUAAUGCAUAUGUCGUUAACACAUACAUAUAUAGAAAUCUAUAUAUCUAUCGUAACUAAGGCGCGUUCUAAACCUUAUCAAAAAUUACUGGACACCCUCCCGGUGUGCCAAGAUUUUAAUAGAUCUAUGUGCAGUCG
RNAcentral lists this unclassified non-coding RNA (2627 nucleotides) under Drosophila mojavensis. RNAcentral's name for it is "GI18620". Lineage: Eukaryota; Metazoa; Arthropoda; Insecta; Diptera; Drosophilidae. The record is from RNAcentral.